AUCGAUCGAGUUUGUAGAAUAUAAACUGACAGAGUCUGCAGGCAAAUUAUCAAUACUUGAUUGAUCGGUUUCAAAGUGGGAAUUUUAUGACAGGUCGAUGACGUAGAUUAAAUGGAAGAAACUUGUGUUGUUGAAUUGCACAUAACACCGCGGAAUUAGGUAUUUUUGUGAGGUAAGUGAAAAUAGCUAUUACUAAAUGAAUGUGAUUGUGACAAAUACACUAAAAAGCGACAAUUCUAUAAGAGUUGAGCUAGUCUAGAUUAUGUUCUAAAUACUGAUUAUCAGUGUAAAGGUCAGAUUAAUUAGGAAGUGAGUUUUUAUGGAUAUACUUUAGAGUAUAAGUAAUUGUUUUAUACUAUCUGGAAUAUGUUUUGUUUAUUGUAUAUAAAGCACACAUAUAUAGUUCCUUUGUUUGAUGAAUGUUUGAACUUCAGACCAAACUAUUAUAGUUUGUUCACAUCUGCAAAUUAUUGUUAUAAGGAUAAAUCAAGUUUAAUUGUACGCAACUUUUCAUUAUUUUCAGGAUGCAAAGAAAUGAUCAAUUGAGAGAAGACAAUCUGUUAUAAACUUAUACUAGCAGUUCUUUUGAGAACUGUAUGAAUUUAUUCAUGAAUUGAAGAUAUAGACAGUGGAAAAUGCUGAGAGCUGUGUUGACUGCAGUUUACAUUAUAUCUGGUGUCCAUAUAUUUUUGGGGAUUCUUAGUGUUUGUCUAGGUGUAGUGUCCAGUAUUCGUUCAGAAGUAUGGCUUGCACACAGUGUGUCUCCAAUAUGGAGUGGAGGGUUUGUAAGUAU
RNAcentral lists this long non-coding RNA (793 nucleotides) under Mytilus galloprovincialis (Mediterranean mussel). The record is from RNAcentral. Lineage: Eukaryota; Metazoa; Mollusca; Bivalvia; Mytilida; Mytilidae.